UGAUCAUGGCUCAGGACGAACGCUGGCGGCGUGCCUAAUACAUGCAAGUCGAACGAACUCUGGUAUUGAUUGGUGCUUGCAUCAUGAUUUACAUUUGAGUGAGUGGCGAACUGGUGAGUAACACGUGGGAAACCUGCCCAGAAGCGGGGGAUAACACCUGGAAACAGAUGCUAAUACCGCAUAACAACUUGGACCGCAUGGUCCGAGCUUGAAAGAUGGCUUCGGCUAUCACUUUUGGAUGGUCCCGCGGCGUAUUAGCUAGAUGGUGGGGUAACGGCUCACCAUGGCAAUGAUACGUAGCCGACCUGAGAGGGUAAUCGGCCACAUUGGGACUGAGACACGGCCCAAACUCCUACGGGAGGCAGCAGUAGGGAAUCUUCCACAAUGGACGAAAGUCUGAUGGAGCAACGCCGCGUGAGUGAAGAAGGGUUUCGGCUCGUAAAACUCUGUUGUUAAAGAAGAACAUAUCUGAGAGUAACUGUUCAGGUAUUGACGGUAUUUAACCAGAAAGCCACGGCUAACUACGUGCCAGCAGCCGCGGUAAUACGUAGGUGGCAAGCGUUGUCCGGAUUUAUUGGGCGUAAAGCGAGCGCAGGCGGUUUUUUAAGUCUGAUGUGAAAGCCUUCGGCUCAACCGAAGAAGUGCAUCGGAAACUGGGAAACUUGAGUGCAGAAGAGGACAGUGGAACUCCAUGUGUAGCGGUGAAAUGCGUAGAUAUAUGGAAGAACACCAGUGGCGAAGGCGGCUGUCUGGUCUGUAACUGACGCUGAGGCUCGAAAGUAUGGGUAGCAAACAGGAUUAGAUACCCUGGUAGUCCAUACCGUAAACGAUGAAUGCUAAGUGUUGGAGGGUUUCCGCCCUUCAGUGCUGCAGCUAACGCAUUAAGCAUUCCGCCUGGGGAGUACGGCCGCAAGGCUGAAACUCAAAGGAAUUGACGGGGGCCCGCACAAGCGGUGGAGCAUGUGGUUUAAUUCGAAGCUACGCGAAGAACCUUACCAGGUCUUGACAUACUAUGCAAAUCUAAGAGAUUAGACGUUCCCUUCGGGGACAUGGAUACAGGUGGUGCAUGGUUGUCGUCAGCUCGUGUCGUGAGAUGUUGGGUUAAGUCCCGCAACGAGCGCAACCCUUAUUAUCAGUUGCCAGCAUUAAGUUGGGCACUCUGGUGAGACUGCCGGUGACAAACCGGAGGAAGGUGGGGAUGACGUCAAAUCAUCAUGCCCCUUAUGACCUGGGCUACACACGUGCUACAAUGGAUGGUACAACGAGUUGCGAACUCGCGAGAGUAAGCUAAUCUCUUAAAGCCAUUCUCAGUUCGGAUUGUAGGCUGCAACUCGCCUACAUGAAGUCGGAAUCGCUAGUAAUCGCGGAUCAGCAUGCCGCGGUGAAUACGUUCCCGGGCCUUGUACACACCGCCCGUCACACCAUGAGAGUUUGUAACACCCAAAGUCGGUGGGGUAACC
This 1460-nucleotide ribosomal RNA is filed under the name Lactiplantibacillus plantarum. RNAcentral's name for it is "Lactobacillus plantarum 16S ribosomal RNA". It matches the Rfam family "Bacterial small subunit ribosomal RNA". Lineage: Bacteria; Bacillati; Bacillota; Bacilli; Lactobacillales; Lactobacillaceae. The record is from RNAcentral.